RNAcentral lists this long non-coding RNA (622 nucleotides) under Vigna radiata. RNAcentral's name for it is "long non-coding RNA (VRAD_LNC002160)". The record is from RNAcentral. Lineage: Eukaryota; Viridiplantae; Streptophyta; Magnoliopsida; Fabales; Fabaceae.
CUUAAACUACACAGUGUCCUCAAUGUGUCGCAAUCAUCAGAUCAGAAAUCAGAACAAUCAACAGAUCAUGGACAAGUGCAAUAAAAGUAAGGAAAGGGGGGAGAAGGGAAAAGAAGAAACUCCCCUGAUCAUGGUGGCAGUUGCCAAUUUUGGACUUUCAGGGAAAGGUCUUCCACCAUAGAAUUGAGCAAGGAAGUCUUGAGGAGGAACUGCUUCAGUCUCCAAAUUUGAUCAAGCAGGGAGAUGUCCUCCACAACUGGAUCUAAGAAGCAGUGAUUGUUGAUGAGCAGGUUCAGCUGGUCCCUAUUAAUCUUCAAACUGUCGGCACCUUUGUCUUCCACCAUGGGUGUGUGUUGAUCAAACUCAUGUGUACCUCCUACAACAUGGUUAGUGCAAUGUGGUUCUACAGAAAUAACAUGCAGAGGUAUAACACCCAAUCCCAGUGUAAGAGGCUGAACCUCAGAUAUACCCUCAGAACAUGAAUCAAUUUCAGAAAUAGAAACAAUAUCAAUCACAGGUUCAGAUUCAUGUUCAGUGCAUGGAGGACAAACAUUCAGAUGCGAUAACACAAAGUGGUUCUCAUCAUGCAAAAAGGGAGAAUGAAAAUCAUGCUCAUCAACCU